GACGAACGCUGGCGGCGUGCUUAACACAUGCAAGUCGAACGGGUCUGCCCUGUUUUUUGCGGGGUGGGUCAGUGGCGAACGGGUGAGUAACACGUGAGUAACCUGCCCCUCACUUCUGGAUAACCGCUUGAAAGGGUGGCUAAUACGGGGUGUUCUGGCUGUGCCGCAUGGUGUGGCUGGGAAAGAUUCACUUUUGUGGUGUUUUGGUGGGGGAUGGGCUCGCGGCCUAUCAGCUUGUUGGUGGGGUGAUGGCCUGCCAAGGCUUUGACGGGUAGCCGGCCUGAGAGGGUGGGCGGUCACACUGGGACUGAGAUACGGCCCAGACUCCUGCGGGAGGCAGCAGUGGGGGGUAUUGCACAAUGGGCGGAAGGCUGAUGCAGCGACGUCGCGUGAGGGAUGGAGGCCUUCGGGUUGUGAACCUCUUUCGCCGGUGAAGAAGGUCCUGCUCUUUGUGGUGGGGUUGACGGUAGCCGGGUUAUGAAGCGCCGGCUAACUACGUG
Molecule: ribosomal RNA, 500 nt
Filed under: uncultured bacterium
Lineage: Bacteria
Description: partial 16S ribosomal RNA
Rfam family: Bacterial small subunit ribosomal RNA
Source: RNAcentral